CCAUGGUUGAAUUGAUGGGGGCACAAGUUUCGAAACCGCUAAUUGCUACCAAGGUGGCUUUUUUACCGAACAAGAUAUUAAGAGCCUACCAUGUUUACAGGUGAUGGAAAUUCCAACAACGAAGAGCUUAAGGUGAUGUCAAAAGAAGUUGAGUAUAGUCAGUUGGCUGAUGUAGAGACAAUAAGUAGUAGGUGCUGGGAACUAUGAAGUGGAAGUUUGACUACUCAGAAAACGUUAACACGAUGAUUAUUUAACUCGCAUGAAGAUUGU
RNAcentral lists this long non-coding RNA (270 nucleotides) under Helianthus annuus (common sunflower). RNAcentral describes it as "hypothetical non coding rna". Lineage: Eukaryota; Viridiplantae; Streptophyta; Magnoliopsida; Asterales; Asteraceae. The record is from RNAcentral.